RNAcentral lists this ribosomal RNA (449 nucleotides) under uncultured bacterium. RNAcentral's name for it is "partial 16S ribosomal RNA". It matches the Rfam family "Bacterial small subunit ribosomal RNA", at positions 29 to 523 of the family's 1533-position model. The record is from RNAcentral.
AACGAACGCUGGCGGCAUGCCUAACACAUGCAAGUCGAACGAAGCCUUCGGGCUUAGUGGCGCACGGGUGCGUAACGCGUGGGAAUCUGCCCUUUGGUUCGGAAUAACAGUUGGAAACGACUGCUAAUACCGGAUGAUGACGAAAGUCCAAAGAUUUAUCGCCAGAGGAUGAGCCCGCGUAGGAUUAGCUAGUUGGUGUGGUAAAGGCGCACCAGGGCGACGAUCCUUAGCUGGUCUGAGAGGAUGAUCAGCCACACUGGGACUGAGACACGGCCCAGACUCCUACGGGAGGCAGCAGUGGGGAAUAUUGGACAAUGGGCGGAAGCCUGAUCCAGCAAUGCCGCGUGAGUGAUGAAGGCCCUAGGGUUGUAAAGCUCUUUUACCCGGGAUGAUAAUGACAGUACCGGGAGAAUAAGCCCCGGCUAACUCCGUGCCAGCAGCCGCGGUAA